UAAAUUAAAAAGUGCAUAAAAAUAACAUGCAUAAAUUGAGGUUUUAGUGUUUUUACAUUCUCAUAUGCAAAGUAUAGUGUGUAAAAUGUUUCGCUAUAUGAGAUCUAAAAGAGCGAAAUAUUGAAAUCUCAUUUUUAACGCCGCCGCCGCCGACGACCAAAAAUGAUGUUUUAACCGCGGCGCACAUCUCUGCCGAAGCACCACACGGUUGUUUGUGAAAACCCAUUGAUGGGUAAAAAAACACCCAUUUUUGAGGACCAUGCGUGUCUGUCAAAAAAUGCGUAAAUUCAUAAAAAUAAAAUGGUUGAAAAAAUACCCAUUUUAAUCUUCUUUAUUCAGCUUACGAAUGGGUGUUUUUUUUACUCUUUAAUGGGUGAAAAAAUAGUUCUCCGAAAGUCUAGUCUGCUGGUGGACCAUAAUAUUAUAUUUUUCAAGGCAUUUCCAAGAAUUCUUAGUGAAUGUCAGACAUUACGACGUACAUUUUUGAAAUAUCAGUGUAAAAUGAGCGUCGCAGCAGGAGAAGCCAACUUCAAGGGUACUAGAUCGGCAUCAAAUUACGCCGUAUUUGUAAAUACGAAUAUGGAAUACCUUGCAUCCCAUAGCAUCAGAUCAGGACCCGAAACCCAAGCCGGAACCCUUCCAAAAUGACGGAAUGGAGCGAGAUCCGGCGGAACUGCCAAAUCGAAGGCAGGAGGAAGGCUGCUGCUGGCAGAGUAAGACGAACGCUGAUGAUCCGGAAUAAUAAAUACGAUUCUAGCAAAACUUGUAACAUUUUAUAUAAAUGAAAUAGUGAUAUCAAUAAAACUGAUACGAAACUGGUGUUAUUUUAAAUAUUGUUCAUCAUUAUUAUCAUUUUUAAAAUGCAAAGUAAUUUUUCACUGCAACAUUUUCAAAAAUGGGUGAAUUUUUACCCAUUUUUCCAAUUGCAUCGCGUUUUCAUAAUGGGUAAAUAAAUACCCAUCUUUUGACAUAACCCGUCUUUACCCGUUAAUGGGUAAACAGCCUUUACCCAUUAAAUGGGGAGAGGCACUUCUACGGAAAAUGGGUGUUUUUUCACCCAUUAAUGGGUAUCUGCAAACGACCGUGCAAAGCAAGCAUCACAGCGGUGCCAGACAUCAAGAAACAAGUAGUUAAUUGAAUGAGAUUUGGUCACUACAAAUACGAUGUUUUAUCAAUCAGAAGAUGGUCGUGUCUUGGUUUAACAUCUUGGUAAUCGAACUUCUACGCAAACAGAUCAAUAAUUUCGUUUUCCAACGCCAUUUCUUUCAAAAUAUUUGGUUUGCUUUUCAUCUAAAUAUGCUGCUACCGCUCAAGCUUUACGAACUUUCAUCCAGUUCGGCAGCACUGAUUUGCCAAUCAGCUGUGAAUGUAUGCGAGUGCAAAACGUGGGGAGCAAGCUUAGACGAUUCGUCGCGCCGCACAUUGUUGUGACUUUUCCUUUGUGAGAGUGAAAAACAAUCACAAUGAAACUGUCACCUGCUAGGGAAAGGGAGUGCGUUAGUGGGUGAGUGCAGAAUGCUCUACGAUGAAAAAAUGUGAGAGUGGUUGUGGAUUUGCUGUAAAUACUGUUGAGAUGAAAAAGGGGCCACCCGGUGGACCGCGAUGAGAUGAAAAUUUUACGGUGCGCUGAAGAUAGGUGCGAGUGGCUCGCGAUUUGUGAUCGCAAUUAAAUCAAAUAUUGAAGAUAAAUCCCACUCUAGUGCAUCGUAGGACCAACAGUGGAAGUGAGCACGUGUGUUAAGGGUUUGUAUCAUUAUGUUUGAAGCGUAUACAUUGCGCUGUGAGUGAUUUUUCAUGUUGCACAUCCUUAAUGAGACUAAGAUAGGCACAAAUACCCUACUACCAUAAGAGGAUAACAUAAAAAAAGUGACGCGUUCAAGUUUAAACUCGGCACGCUGCGAUCAGACAUAUUUGAAAAUUCUUCAGUUGGAAGUUGGAACGCAUGAUACCCUGGUAUCCUCAAAACUGAAAUGGUUAUAUAUCUGCCAUUUUUCAAAGAUUUGAAUAAUCUUGGGAUUCGAUUCAGAAACUUAUGUUUUAUUGGGAGCUUAUCCGAGUGAAAUCUGAUUACCGUGGUUUUCGGAAAAUCCGGAUUUUCAGGAAUAUGUUCGGCAUGUCAGCUACAAUAACCAUCAAAGAUCAUAAACCAAUAAACCAAUCAGUCUUGUCAUCAGUCCAUUGGUGGGCUAUUCCAGAAAAAAAAUCUCAAAAAGUCAUGGCUAUCAAUAACAUUUUCUUACACCUCAUCCCCUCUCAACCCCACAAUGUAUUGACAGAUUUUCUGAAACUCCGGGUGACCGGACCAGUUUAUUCGCAUAACAUAUCGAUAGAGUAAGCACAUAUGAGUUCGGAGCUGAAUCGGUAUCUGAACGGGCGGUCUUGAGCUCUGACACGCAAGUUAAAUUUCUACUGCGUUUCAAUCAAAACAUUGAAAUCAUUUAUAUUAAAUAUUUUUGACUCGUGUUCAGUUCAAGUGCAACAUUACAUGAAAGAACAGCCUAUGUUUAAAAGAAGGAAAAAUAUCAGAUGAAAAAUCUGCAUCUUCAACAUAUGAACAUAGUACAUAAAAUCAGGAAACUUGAACAAAACCCCAGAAGGUAUAACCACUGAUGAAAAAAAUCAGCAGUUAAUACAUGACGCAAUGAAAUGAGUAAACUUGAAAGACCAGCCUAUGUUUGAAAGAAGGAAAAAUAUCUAAAAAAAGGCAUCAGCUAAUGAAGAACAGCUUGUGUUCAAAAGGAAAAAUUUCUUAUGAAACAUUCAGCAGUUUGUACAGCGUACAGGAAAACGAUGUUGGGGUCAAUAUGAUCCAAACAGGCACGCUGAACGUGCAUUACGCCAUCGUGGUGCGAAAAACCGAACAUCCUAGGAGGGUUAAUAAACGUGAAAGAAUAGCCUAUGUUUCAAAGAAGGAAAAAUACAUGAGAAAAAGACAGCAGCCAUAACAUUUAAACAUAGUACAAAUACGAAACUUGAAAGAAUAGACUAUGUUCAAAAGUAAGGAAAAGGAAAAAUAAUCAAUAAAAAAAUCACAACCAUAAUGUCCACUGUCAGCACAAAUAACAAAUUUGAAAGAACAGCAUAUGUUGAAAAGAAGGAGAAACCUUUGAUGGAAAAGCCAGUAUGUGCUACACAAAAACGCAGUGAAAUUAUGAAAAUUGGAAGAAGAGCCAAUAUUAAAGAUAAGGAGAAAUCUUCGAUGGAAAAUCAACUACUUCACCAAUGCCAACGAAAACUACAUUGCAAAACAAGUUACCUUAAUAAUAAACACCCUUGAAUGAAAUAUUUGCUGUUUAAUGUUUGAUAUUAUUAACAUGAUUAAAUUGCUAUACAACUUAACGUCUAUUCUUUGUGGGGUUUUUCGUCACCGUUGAAUUUUAUGUUUCGAGAUUUGUUGAUUUUUUCGGUGAAAACAUAUUUUUCGUCCAAACAUACUUUCAACCAAAUAAGUUCAGUAACAAAUAAAUUCAGAUACCCAAAUCUA
Molecule: long non-coding RNA, 3484 nt
Organism: Aedes albopictus (Asian tiger mosquito)
Lineage: Eukaryota; Metazoa; Arthropoda; Insecta; Diptera; Culicidae
Exons: 2
Source: RefSeq, a predicted model, not a curated record